RNAcentral lists this ribosomal RNA (484 nucleotides) under uncultured bacterium. Its description in RNAcentral is "partial 16S ribosomal RNA". It matches the Rfam family "Bacterial small subunit ribosomal RNA", at positions 30 to 507 of the family's 1533-position model. The record is from RNAcentral.
AUUGAACGCUGGCGGCAGGCCUAACACAUGCAAGUCGAGCGGAUGAAGGGAGCUUGCUCCUGGAUUCAGCGGCGGACGGGUGAGUAAUGCCUAGGAAUCUGCCUGGUAGUGGGGGAUAACGUCCGGAAACGGGCGCUAAUACCGCAUACGUCCUGAGGGAGAAAGUGGGGGAUCUUCGGACCUCACGCUAUCAUAUGAGCCUAGGUCGGAUUAGCUAGUUGGUGGGGUAAAGGCCUACCAAGGCGACGAUCCGUAACUGGUCUGAGAGGAUGAUCAGUCACACUGGAACUGAGACACGGUCCAGACUCCUACGGGAGGCAGCAGUGGGGAAUAUUGGACAAUGGGCGAAAGCCUGAUCCAGCCAUGCCGCGUGUGUGAAGAAGGUCUUCGGAUUGUAAAGCACUUUAAGUUGGGAGGAAGGGCAGUAAGUUAAUACCUUGCUGUUUUGACGUUACCAACAGAAUAAGCACCGGCUAACUUCGUG